This 1332-nucleotide long non-coding RNA is filed under the name Anser brachyrhynchus (Pink-footed goose). Its description in RNAcentral is "lncRNA (ENSABRG00000018359.1)". Lineage: Eukaryota; Metazoa; Chordata; Aves; Anseriformes; Anatidae. The record is from RNAcentral.
UGGCCUCCGGGAGGGGGGGUCCUGGGGGCACCGCCCCCCCCCUCCCCCUUGGCGCCGCUCGCGUGCCCCCGGGGACUUUUGCACUACCGGGGCCGGGGGGAUCUGGCCGCCGGCCAAUGGGAGGGGGCGCCGCUGGGGCGGGAUCCGGUCGCCGGCCAAUGGGGAGGGAGGACGGGAGCGGGGCGGGGCCGGCGUUUGGCCAAUGGGGGCGGAGGCGGCGGCUGGGCGGGGCAGGAAGGGGGCUCCGGCCAAUGGGGAGCGAUGGCGGAGUGGGAUCUGCUCUCGAGCCAAUCGGGAGCGAGUUCCUGUAGGGGCGGGGGCCGGUGGUCAGCCAAUGGGGAGCGGGUUCCUGUUGAGGUGGGGUCCAGUGGUCAGCCAGUCAGGAGCGGGGGCAGGAGCUGGUCUCAAGCCAAUCAGGAGCGAGCUGCAGCGGUGCAGGAUCUGGUCUCGAGCCAAUCAGGAGUGAGCUGCGGGGAUGUGGGAUCUGGGCUCGAGCCAAUCAGAAGGGGGCAGGGGGCGGGGCAGGAUCGAGACUCAAGCCAAUCGGGAACGACCUCCGGUUGGGUUGGGAGCCAGCGUUGAGCCAAUCAGGAACGGGUUCCCCUUGAGCUGGGAUCCAGUGUUCGGCCAAUCAGGAGCGGCAUGCUGCAGGGGCAGGAGCCAAUGGGGAGCAGCGUCCAGGCGAGCUGGGAUCCAGUGCCGGGCCAAUCAGGAGCGAGCUGGGGGGGAUCCGGCCUCCGCCCGGCCAGCAGCGACUCUGGGUCGAGAUGGGAUCCGGCCAGGAUCCAAUCGGGAGUGACGUUGGAUUGGAGGGGCGGAUCCGGUUUCCAUCCAGUGGGGAGUCGGGCCGGGCGGGGGCGGGAUCUGGUCUUCAGCCAAUCAGGGGGCGUUCUGGGAAGGGCUGGGCCAAUCAGGAGCCAGGCCGGGCUGGGGCGGGAUCCAGUCUUCAGCCAAUCAGGAGUCAUUCUGGGUAGGCCUGGCGCCAAUCAGGAGCCAGGCCGGGUUGGGGGCGGGAUCGAGCGCAGAGCCAAUCAGGAGUGGCGCUGGGUUGGGGAAGGAUCUAGUGUGGAGCCAAUCAGGAGUGGUUCUGGGCUGGGAAGGGACACAGGGCAGAGCCAAUCGGGAGUGACCUUGGCUUGGGGCGGGAUCUACCAUGGAGCCAAUCAGGAGAGAGCGUGGGUCUCGGCGGGGGGGGAACCAUCAGAGCCAAUCAGGAGCGACUGUGAGCUGGGGGGGAUCCGGUGUCCGUCCAAUAGGAAGCGACGGCGGCCCCCAGGGGAGGGGGGCUCCUCCCCCCAGACCCCCAAAAUCGCGCGAUUUCCCCCCAGACCC